This 3138-nucleotide long non-coding RNA is filed under the name Helianthus annuus (common sunflower). RNAcentral's name for it is "sRNA HanXRQr2_Chr15g0702911". Lineage: Eukaryota; Viridiplantae; Streptophyta; Magnoliopsida; Asterales; Asteraceae. The record is from RNAcentral.
GUGGGAACAAGGUCUUCAUUAAGGAUCCCUCUUAAGGUUUCAUUUAAAAAAUAGAGAUAUACACUAUUUAGAUAGAGGGCUGUUUGGCAACAUCUGAAUGGUUAAGUACUGAACCAGUAAGAGGUCUGAGCCAUUAAGUGAUUAAGUGCUGAACCAGUAAGAGGUCUGAACCAUUAAGAGCAUAUAUAAUGCUUAAUGGUUCAGAUGCAAAUGUCUGACCAAUUCAGAUUGGAGGUCUUAACCAUUCAGACUCUGUAUAAAUCUUAACCAUUCAGAGGCAAAUGUCUGAACCAUUCAGACAUUUGCUCGUGAAACAAACAGUCUGAACCAUUAAGUGUUUAACCAGUAAGAGGUCUGAACCAUUAAAAGCCUCACUAUCACUAAGAGGUAAACAAACAGCACCAGCCCCAGAGAAAGAUAAAGAUAGACAGAAAUCGAAAGAGAGAUUCAGCGAGAGAUAGAGGGAGACAGGGGAGGCCGAGAAAGAGGCUGGGUAGUAACCUAGCUGCGAUUGGCGGCAAUACCACUGUUUCAAGUGGUCGUGGUGACCGGAGGCGGAAAUCACGGUGGCCAGUGGUGGCCAUGGAGGUUGGAGUUGACUCGUGGUGGUUAGAAGAUGAUGCAGCAACCUUAAAACACUUCCAUCUUCCUCAAGUUGGACAGAAAAUUGAAGGUAACUACUUUAACCUAAAUAAAUGUAAAUUUCUUUUAGGUUUGUUGGUUGCAUGUUUGAACUAAAAUUGGAGAGGAGGAUUGAAAAUCUAGAAUAGCCAAGUGCAUGUUGCAACUAGUUGGAGUCCAUUAGAUAUACCAUUGUGUUAAUUGGAUUUAUAAAGAUGAUCAAAAGCAUGUAAAUUGACUCCUAAUAUUUUUGACAGCUUUGACUUUUUCUGUCAAAGUCAAACGAUGGGUUAAAAUGGAAAUUAGUAGGAAUAUCUUUGAUAUAUGAUGAAAUUUAAUUUGCAUUCAUGAAGUACAAGUAGUAAGGAGUUAGAAACGCCAAAAAACAUGCAAAUGAAGCUAUUUAAAUUGGUGUAAUCAUUUAGCCUAAAAGAGGGACAAAAAUGACUUUUAGUAGAAGUCUAAUUUAACAAGAAUUAACCACUGGGUGACAGCCCAGUGGCCACCGACACCCGCCUUAAAACCGGAACGAGGGCCCAAGAGGUCUCGGGUUCGAUACAUGUGUCGGACCCCUCGUUGAUGGUUAUGGGGAUUUACAGCCAGGAAGCCUUGUCGGGUGGUGACCUGGGAGGGGAGAUCCCCUCCGCGGUCGGGGGUACCGUGCAAUUAUCUUUUUUUUUUAAUUUAACAAGAAUUGGAAUUUCUUGUGUAUGGUCAAGAAACAAGUUGUAGUUGGUUACUUGGAACAAGAACCUGUUUAUAUAUGAUAAUCUUAAAGCUCAAACAAGUUGAUUAAGGAAAGAGUGGAAUGGAAUCACGAAUUCCAUCUUUUAAUAAAGAGGGUAAAAAUGAGAUUUUUGGAGAUUUCUUCAAAGAAUGGUCAAAAUGGAUCAAGUAAUGAUCCAAUACACUUAGAAUAAUAAUUAUAAAGUGUUGUGAACAUUUUCAUAGAAAUUUGAUAGUAAAAUAUCAAGUUUUUAAUUUUUAUAACGGUUUUCAUUUUUAGAAACUUUAUCGAUUUAUAAAGCUAAAAAUGGCAUAAAAAAAGGAUCCAAUGAGAUAUGUUUUGAAAUCUAAGCAUUAGUAAUGACUUAUAAACAGGUUUGGACCAGAAAGUCAUUAAAUUAACAUGCUAAAUCCCGAGAAAUCACGUUUGGGCAAAGUAGGAUGCCUAAAUGAGAGAAAAUGGUCACGUUUGGGUAAUAUUUUCGUGUCUUAACAAUGAGAUAUAUUUUCGAGUGUUCGUCAUGCUUAUCAGUUUAAGCUUCGUUUUGAUGUUAUUUGACUGAAUCACUUGUUUCGUACUUUCGUGUGUAAUUUUGAGCUUUCGUUGUGCUUGAUCUGGAACAUAUGGUGAGAUUAGACCUUGCUAUAACUUGUAUAAUGAUGUUGACAAGUUAUUUAUGGUUGUUUGAAUAGUCUGUACUGUAUUAGAUGAUAAACUGUGACUUUUUUUUAUGAUUUUCGUCUAGUUACGUGCGUUUUCUGGCAGAAAAAGUAAACGGCGCACUCAAUUUCGUCAACUGAAGAUAUUUUUUGGUGCGAAAUUGUUAGAGGAUUUAGGUUUAAAAUUCAGCAUUGAAACUAUCGUGAUAUACUUUUCUUAAUUCAUCGUUCUGCUAAAAUAAUUGUGUUCUACUGUUGAUUCGGGUAUGAAAUAGGAAUGAAUUUAAGCGUAAUUUUGAUGUACCAAAUGAAUUUUGAUUCGGGUACGGUUCGGUACCGGUACCCGGUACCAAAUGAAGUUCAUUGUCGGCAAACAUAUAAUAUUGGUGGUAUGAGAUGCCGGAUGUUACAAAAUCAGUUUAAUUUGUGAGUUUUCUUGCUGAAUGUUAUUGGUAAAUCAAUUUAGUUAUUGACCCUUUCAACAUCUUUACUCUGUUUGUGAUUUGCCUUUACAUAAUCAGUUGAUAAAUCAAGCUAGUGGGUUAUUUAUUUUAUUUUUUGGGGAUUUUUAUGGAAAUAACAGUUAAUCUGCAAUGACAAGUGAAGUAGAAUCACUGACCCAAUUGAGAAAAAUCUUAAUUUAUCAUUUAUCUUGUUGAUUCAUAGUUAUAAUCUUGUGUUGCAGGUUGUUUAUGACAAAGGCAGUGGAAGAAGCAGGGGGUUCGGCUUUGUAACCAUGUCAACCGUCGAAGAAGUUGAGGCGGCUACACGACAAUGAUUGGAAUGGCAGGAACUCGACGGGAGGCAAUUGAGGGUGAACUCCGGGCCACCACCAAGCAAAGGAGACUCUUUCUCUAGAGGGCAAAGAGACGGUGGUCGUGGCGGCUACAACAGUGUUGUAGGUGGUGGAGGGAGAAGUUAUGCAGCACAAAUAAGGUUUAUGUUGGAAACCUUGCUUGUAGUGUGGACAAUCUGGCUCUUGAAACCUUGUUUCAAGAGCAAGGAAAUGUCAUGGAAGUUCGGGUGGUUUAUGAUAGGGGCAGCGGUCGGUCAAAGGGUUUUGGUUUCGUGACGUAUGGUUCGAUGGAUGAGGUUAAUAAAGCUAUUGAUUCAAUGGAUGGCCUUUGUUAG